GACGAACGCUGGCGGCGUGCCUAAUACAUGCAAGUAGAACGCUGAAGAGAGGAGCUUGCUCUUCUUGGAUGAGUUGCGAACGGGUGAGUAACGCGUAGGUAACCUGCCUUGUAGCGGGGGAUAACUAUUGGAAACGAUAGCUAAUACCGCAUAACAAUGGAUGACACAUGUCAUUUAUUUGAAAGGGGCAAUUGCUCCACUACAAGAUGGACCUGCGUUGUAUUAGCUAGUAGGUGAGGUAAUGGCUCACCUAGGCGACGAUACAUAGCCGACUUGAGAGGGUGAUCGGCCACACUGGGACUGAGACACGGCCCAGACUCCUACGGGAGGCAGCAGUAGGGAAUCUUCGGCAAUGGGGGCAACCCUGACCGAGCAACGCCGCGUGAGUGAAGAAGGUUUUCGGAUCGUAAAGCUCUGUUGUAAGUCAAGAACGGGUGUGAGAGUGGAAAGUUCACACUGUGACGGUAGCUUACCAGAAAGGGACGGCUAACUACGUG
This 497-nucleotide ribosomal RNA is filed under the name uncultured bacterium. RNAcentral's name for it is "partial 16S ribosomal RNA". It matches the Rfam family "Bacterial small subunit ribosomal RNA", at positions 28 to 507 of the family's 1533-position model. The record is from RNAcentral.